This 10363-nucleotide long non-coding RNA is filed under the name Capsicum annuum. RNAcentral's name for it is "long non-coding RNA (CANN_LNC012097)". The record is from RNAcentral. Lineage: Eukaryota; Viridiplantae; Streptophyta; Magnoliopsida; Solanales; Solanaceae.
GGUUUAGGCCCGAACACAACUCCACCACCGGGCCUUAACGGAGUUCGGUUCGACCCACGUCGAGCCCGACCCGUUUUCUUUUGCGGGUAGGGUUUAACACCGCCUCCCCGAACUUCAGCUCGGGUGAGAGUUGAAGCAGUGCCGCGCCGUUGGUUACGGAGGUCGGUGAUGAGUCCACGGUGGACGACGGCGCGUGCAGUGUCGAGAGGAGCGGAUUUUAGGUUGAGAGUUGUGGACCCCACUUCGGUACCCUCGAAGGACAGAAUUGGAAUUGUAGCGGCGUCGGAACGGAUGGAGAGUUGUUGUUGUUGUUUGGGUUUACAAAGGAGGUGCUUCGAAGAGUGGAAGGUGGUGCUAGAGUUAGUCUUAGAGAAGAAAAUGGUGGAAGACAAGAAGGAUAAGGAAGAGGAAGUUGCCAUUGUUGGAGUGAAGGAGCAAAGUGUAAAACUUUGGAUUGGGUAGUGAUGAAAUAUGUUGUUAUCCACAAGUGAGGUACAAGGCUAUCAAAGUGCAUUCAUAUUCUUUUUCUAAUAAAAUUUUAUAUUCCCUUUCUACCAAUUCAGACACAAUUUUUUUAAAAUAAAAUUUAUAUAUUAAGAAACUACAUUAAAGGAAAAAAAAAAAAAUUUAUAUAUUAAGAAACUACAUUGAAGGUAGUAUAAGUUACGAUUAUGGACAAUUCAAAAUAUUUAAAAGAUAUGUAAAAAUAAUUAUGAUAAAAAAUAGGUUUGUUUGAAUUGUGAAAUUCUAAAAACAGCGUAAAAUUGAAAUGAGGGAGUAGCUUAUAUUGAAUCUCGAAAAGGUCAAAGAUGUCCUUGAAGUAUUUUAAUUUAGUCUUAUGUGACAUCUAUGUUUCUUAAUUUUGAAUGUGUAUAACUAGACACUUAAAUAAUCAUAAAGUUAAAAGGCAAAAUACAUAUGCAGCCCUUUAAACUUGUUCGAUUUUUUUAUUGAAAUACCUAAACUAAAAAUUGUACCUAUUGAACAACUGGGACACAUGUUAAAGUGUGUUAAUUGAAUAUGUUUGUGCAAUAUUUCAUGAAAUCGAAGAGCGUUAUUUUCAAACGCCAUGACAUGGCAAGAAAGACGAGUCAGGAGCUAACACAUGGAAUUCUGUUUUUUUUUUUAAAGUCAUUCUUCACUAUCUUCUUCAUCUACCUUUUCUGCUCUUUUUUCUUCAGAAAAAAAAUUCGAUUUAUCUUCUUUUCUCGGUAUGUGCAAGUCUCGACGGAGAAAAGUGUGAUUUAUAUUUUAACUACUUUAUCAGAAUUUCUUAUAGCUAAGUUUCAUUAUGUUUUACAGAUGCUCUUUGUUCAGAAUUCUUAUAUCGGAAAAGGAACAAAUAUAUCUCUAAACUUUAAUAAAUAGUAUAAAUAUAUUCUCUGUCAUACUUUGAAUACAAAUAUAUUUUUAUCGUUAAUGAAAAGGUACAAAGAUACCCUCAAACUUUACUAAAUUGUACAAAUAUAUACCCUCUGUCAUAUUUUGGAUAUAUUUUAUACCCUUUUCAUUAAUGAAAAGGUACAAAUAUACUCUUUUUAUUAACGACGGGACACGUAUCAAUAUCGUAUUAGUUAAUCCUUUUUAAUUUAUUUUAUCUGUGAAUAAUUUAAUCUAUCCUAAAUUAUAAUUCAUACCCGAUCAAAUAACCUGACCUAACCCGUGUAAUAGAGAAACUUCGAGAGACAUAUCACGCGUCUCUAUUCAUGCGUGUUUCUUUCUUCCACUCUCUCACACUCACACUCUCUCACUAACCCAAAAAAUCUUAACAAACGCAUCGAUUCAAUUCAUGUUUCGAUCCAUCUACCAUCUAGAAUCAAGUAGAGAUUUGUUUAAAAUCGUAAUGUUGUUUAAUUUUUUUAUGUUAGAAUAAUAUGCUGAUGCUGUUUAAUGUUCCUCAUGAACGACUGUUGUUUGUUUUUACUAAUUCAUAACCAUCAAUGAAUCAGAAAUUGUUUCUGAUUCGUGACCGUUAUUACCUGCUUUAAAUUCAUUGUUACACCAUUGUUCAUCAACUUCAAAGAGUGAACAAGAAGACAACAUUUUAAGAACAGAAACAUGAGAAAAAAUUGCAAAGUUUGGACAUUCGUCGACCAAAUCAAAGUCCUCACUAUAUCACAGGUCGGGUCGGAUUAUUUGGAUCGGGUGUAGUUAUAAUUUAGGAUGGAUUAAACUAUUCAAAGAUAAAAUAAAUUAAAAAGUGUCAACUAAUACUAUGCUGACACAUGUCCCGUCGUUAAUGAGAAUGAUAUAUUUGUACCUUUUUUAUUUAUGACAAGGGUAUAUUUGUAUCCAAAGUACGAUAGAGGGUAUAUUUAUACCAUUUAUUAAAGUUUGAGGGUGUAUUUGUAUAUUUUCAUUAACAAUAAGGGUAUAUUUGUACUCGAAGUAUGACAGAGGGUAUAUUGUAUCAUUUAUUAAAGUUCAGGGGUGUAUUUGUAUCUUUUCCGUUCUUAUAUUAUAGAGAAAAGGUAAUUGGGUAUGUAAAAUUCAUUAAAGGCCAAACACAUUGACAUGCCCCUCAACUUGGCGUCAUCUUUCACUUUGGCACCUCAAAUGGAUGUUGUUCACUUUGGCACCUCAAGUAGCAUACUGAUGUGUCUUUUUGACACUUUUUGCUGAGUAUCAUGAAAAGUGUAACACAGGCAUUUUAAGCGCGUUUCAAGGAUAUUUUCGUAAUUUUCUCAUCUUUCUUCUCUUUCUUCCUCACUCUUUCAAUCCAUUAAUUUGCCAUCAUUUUUUUUCUUUUCUUAACACAUCUGUAUCCCUUCAUUCGAAUUAACAUAGAAAGCUUUCAUAUACAUGCGCACAUUAUUGCCAUUACGUCACUUUUUGUCACCCACUUUCCUCUCCCUUUAAUUUGUAUGUCCCUUCCUUGAUCACUAUUCACUCUUGAGCAACAACAAAUCAAUCAUUUAGUUGAAGGAAAUAUAUUGAACAUUAUGUUCGGGAGGGAUCCAUGGGGAGGAGCAUUAGAGAUAAAUGCAAUAGAUUCAGCAACAGAUGAUGAUAGGACCAAAUUGUUGUAAGAAAUUCCUCAUCAUGUGAUUCUGAAGAACACAACAACUACAAUGACAAAGACACAAUAAAAUCACUAAAUAUGAGAAGAGGGAUACCAUACAAGGCAAUAAGAAAGAUACUUUACCCUCUCUUAAUUUCUUUUCCUUCACAUUGCAAUUUGUUACCUUCAACGAUAAUUUGAUCAAAAAUUGUUGUCAAUUUGGACGGAGAAUGAAAAAUUAUUGUCGAUUUGAUCGUACUGUUGCAGCGGAGAUAUGGGUUUGACCAUCAAAUUGUCGCACUUAUCAAUUUGUUGUGAAUUUGGUGUUAAUUUGGUCGGAUUAUUACAGCGGUUGGAGGAGGGGUUUGUGGAUUGGAGAAGACAAUAUGGAGGGGGUGGUGGGUAGGGUAGGAGAAGUUGGGGUGGCGGUAAAUGACAGGGGUGGGGUGGGGUNNNNNNNNNNNNNNNNGGUGGGUAAGAAGUUGAUAUAAGGUGGGGGUGGGGUUAUUAAUAUUUUUCUAAUUUAAAUUAAUUAUAUAAAAAUUAUUUUUACAAAAAAAUGACAAGUGUUCUUUUAUAAUUGAUCCCUUUCUGUGUCAUCAACUCGUAUAAUAUAUGCACACGAUAUAUUUUUGCUGAUCAACAAAAAAUGUCAAAAUGACACAUCAAUAUGGUACUUGAGGUGCCAAAGUGAAAGAUGGUAUCAAAUUGAGGGGCCUGUCGACAGUGGCAGAGCUACAUAUAAGGUAGGGGGUUCAUCCGAAUCCCCUUCGACGGAAAAUUGUACUAUAUAUACAUGGUUAAAAUUAUUUUUUAUGUAUAUAUAGUAGAUGUCGAACUUCCUUCGGUUAGUUCAUAUGUUCACUUGUGAACCUCCUUGGUGUCAAUCUUGGCUCCGCCACUGCCUAUCGAUGUGUUUGGCCAUUAUUAAAACUGAGCCAGUGAAAAAGAUUCAUUUUUUUUAUUUACUAUUGACCUUGUUUGAUAAGUUCUACUACAAAUUCUAAUAUAUGAUUGGGAAAAAAUUCAAAUAUGCCAUCGAACUAUCAGAAAUGACUCAUUUAUGUCAUCCGUUAAAAGUUUGGCUCAUUUAUGUCAUCGUCGUUACAAAACAGGUUCAUCUAUGCCAUUACUUGUUAACAGUGGUUUUCAAAAAUAGUUUUGCCACAUGUCGUCUUACUAGAGGCCCACAUCAUUAAUUAAAAUAAAGAGAAAAGACUCAAAUAUGCCAUCGAAUUAUCAGAAAUGACUCAUUUAUACCAUUCAUUAAAAAUUUGGCUCGUUUAUGCCAUUGUCGUUACAAAACAGGUUCAUACAUGCCUGUGCUUGUUAAUGGUAGUUUUUCAAAAAUAGAUUUGCCAUGUGUUAUCUUACUAGAGUUUCACGUCAUUAAUUAAAAAAAAAUAGUAAGAAUUGAUUUAUUUUCUCUUACAUUUUGUUCAUACUAGUCAGUGCCUUGAAUCUGUAAGGAAGAUCACCCGUCAUAUCAUUGAAUGAAAAACCCAAGAAGUAUAAAUAUUAAUCGAUCAAAAUGUAUGCAACAGAAAAUGAUUAACUAGUCAUUUGGAGGUUUGUAAGGCUUGGCAAAAGAAUAUUUUAGGACUCACUUGUUUUUUUACAAUUAUAGGAGUUUGGCCUAAGAACAUCUCGAAAUAUAUUCAGUUGUUUAGUUAACUUAAUUGGGACAAUCACAUAAUUUUAAUUAGUGACGUGGACCUCCAGUAAGAUGACGCGGGGCAAAGCUGUUUUUGAAAAACCACCGUUAAUAAAAAAUGAAAUGAAUGAACCUGUUUUAUAACGACGAUGAUAUAAAUGAGAUAAACUUUUAACGGAUGACAUAAAUGAGCCAUUUCGAUAGUUUGAUGGCAUAUUUGAGUCUUUUUCCAUUAUUUUAAUUAAUGAAACGACAUGUGGCAAAACUAUUUUUGAAAAAACCAUCGUUAAAAAGUAAUGGCAUGGAUGAACCUGUUUUAUAAUGGCGAUGACAUAUGAGUCAAAUUUUUAACGGAUGGCAUAAAUGAGCCAUUUGUGAUAGUUCGAUGGCAUAUUUAAGCCUUUUUCCUAUAUGAUUUAAUAAUUUCUUCACUUGGAGUUAAAAAAAACCCUCAAAUAUGCAUUAUUUUUGACGAAAAAAUCUGGUGAUGGCUCAAAAUGAUGCUAGUUCGCGGUAGUCUUCAUGGUCGGUGGUCUUAUAGUUUUCUUUGUGGUUCAUAAAUAGUUAAAUAGAUUAGAAAUAAUGUUUAGAGAAGAUGAUGGAGAUAGGAAAAAUAAAAUUUUGCUCUUUCAUGCUCUUAAAAGUGUGUAUUACACACAUCUGCCAUGCCAACAAUUUGUGUUUAAAAGACACAAUUUUGUAUAUGUUUAAGUGUUUAACAGGUACAAUCUUUAGUUUAGGUGUCUGAAUGAAAAAAAUUAAAUAAGUUUAAAGAGCCUCAUAUAUAUUCCAUCUAAAGUUUAACUAAACUCAUGUGUCUUGCGUGCCCAAUCACGUGAGAUAUGACAUGUAGGAAGCAUCUGUUUAGUUAUUCAAUUUUAUGAUAGUUUAAUAAUUUACUUAUGCACACUCAAAAUUAAAAUACAUAAAUAUUAACAUUAAUUAGUGUAAUUGAAUCACACGUUUAGCUACUAUGCCUUAUGCCUAUUUGAAACUGGUGUAUGGACAUGUGCGUAAACCCCUAGCCAGAAAGUAAAAAAGAAUAAAUUAAAGUUUAUAUCAAAAAUAGUAAAAUACAUAUUUGAGUUAUUUAAUAAAAACUAACUAGAAAAGCAUAAAUUGUUGAAAAUGGUAAGAGUAGGGUGGGCAUGGUAUGGUAUUUGAAAAUUCGAUAAAGUAAUUUUGGUAUUUAAUUUUUAAAAACACUAUAUCAUUAUCAUACGAUAUUAACUUGAUAUGGUUCAGUAUUUUGAUAUUCAAUUUUAAUAUUUUGCUGUAGGGUUAUCGGUAAUCGCAGUUUGUUCCACUUUGUCAAUAUAUACUCGCAUGGGGCGGAUCUACAUGUAGUUUAAAUGAAUUUCCUUCGUCGGAAAAUUACACUGUAUAUGUUGAAUCAAAAUUUUAAUUUACGAUAUAUAUAUGUUAAGUAUUGAAUCCCCUAGACACAAGGCUUUGGUUCAGUGGUGAAGGGGUGCAAAAGUUUUCAAUUUGUGUGAGUUUGAGCUUGGAUAACACCAUUUUUUUUCAAUCUUUUAUAUUAACUUUUGAAUUAAAUAAAUUCCCUUUUAUUUUCUCUUCUCUCUCACUUGUCCUAUCUCCCUUUUGUUUUCUCUUCUCUCGCUUUCAUGGUUACUAAUUUGAUGGUUAACUUCUUUUUCUAUAUUUUUCAUAAAAUUAUGCUACAUACUUUUGUUUGUUGAUUAUUAUCUAUUUUGACUGAUUUAAAAUGGCUUACAUCUUUUCUCCUUAUAAUUAAGGAAAAAUUAGUAUUAGUUUUAUCAUGAUAAUGUAUAAAUAACUUAAACGUAAAGUACAAUUCUGGUAACUUAUUGCACUUUUUAUGUAGUUUCUAAAUAUGUAAUUAUUUUUAAAAGAUUUAAAGAUUGUACGUCUGAACACACGAUCAAAAUAAAGAUAUUUAACUUCCCCGUUUUAUUGUUCAUGUUCAUGAGGUAGCUAGAGUUAAACUUUGUCAAGCUCGCUCAAAUCAAAUUUGACCCGCUUAAUCUGAUCCGAUUUGCUUAUUUUUGAGGUCCUGUUAAAGUGCUUAGUUUUUUUUUAACCCCCUUAAUAGAAAUUCUGGCUCCGCCAUUGUAUACUCGAACAAUAAAGUAUUAUUAUUUUGACUUUUCAAAAGCACGUCUCAAUUGUAUUUUAAUUAUAUAUUACACAUGUAGAAAUAUUAAAAAAGAAGUACAAACAACUCCUUUUGUUAGUCAAUUAAAAAAUAUAUUACAAUCAAGAUAGAGUAUCCAAAGCUCCAAUGCCUCAACAUUUUUAUACUAAUACUAAAUUGUAUAUUUGUUAAAAUUAUAAUAAUACCAAAAUUUUGAUGUCAAAAAUUUGGAUUUGAUAUGAUAAUUUGAUAUAUAUCAUACCAUGUCCACCCCUAGGUAAGAUUUUAAUCCUCUUUAACUAAUUCAAUAACAUAAGAAGUCAUAUCGUGAAUUUUAAACCACACCUUCUCGACAUAAUUAUGUUAUCUGCAAUUACACAAAUUAUUAUUAUUUCAUACAAUCCCAUCAUCAUGAUUUGGUAGUGCUUGAUCUUUAGCAACAAAGGUAACGCUGACUUUUGAAGUUAAUUGCCUUAAACUAGUACAAUUUAUAGUAAUAAUCAAUUAAAAUAAUUUUUUUUAAAAAGAGAAAGUAAAUAAGAAUUAACUUUAGAUAUAACGGUUUUAAUGCAGUGCCCAUCAAUAAUUUUUGGGAUAUGAUCGUCUUUCAACUUCAAAUUUAUGAUAUUUCCCCCAUUAAUACAGUACAAGUAGUAUACGAAAAUGAAGUAGCAUAUACACAUUCUACUUUGGAGCACCAACAUAUGUGAAUUCAGAUACAGCUAAAACAAAGACUGAUUUAAAAGAAAUAGGGAUGCAACACAUCGGUCCUCAGCUAUACAGACAAACAAUCAUAUAUCCUUUUGACAUACACCUACUGUCCUCAGCUUGAAUUCUAUACACACGGAGAUAAUGAAUUGAUCUCUCAUGUACAAAUCCUUGGUGUACUCAACUUAGACCUGAAAUUUACAUCAGAAAAAGAGACAUAUUUUACAUACAUACAUAUCCGAUAUACAUAUACACACACAAAUAUACAUGCAGACAAUUAGGUAGAAAACUGGAGAGAAAAUUAGGUAGAGACUCUAAGUCUCUUUAACUAUUUCUAUCUACCAAUUAAACUGUAUGUAGUUUGAACAUCACAAGCAGCCUCAUCUGCACUUUUGUUCUUCCAUGUGCAUAUUUCAAUUACGUCUUUCAUGAUUCUUAGAUCCUUGGUAGCACUGCUCCAUUGAUAUAUAGCAGCAUCCCUUCCUCUCGCAUGCACCCGGUCUAGUAUCUCUUAGGUCGAUAUCCAGUAGCUCUAGUAGCAGCAGAGGAAGAAGAUCGGUAGUAGAAGGUAACGAACUAGAGACUCAGUGAGAGAUCGGAAGUAAAACUUGACAAUUGGAAAGGCGGAAAAAUAAUUGUACAGCUCUUCUACUCAUGUAGAGAGAAAGCUAUGAGAGCAGCGCAGGCGAGUUGUCUCCUUUUGCUAUCCUGAUAAUAUUUGAUAUUGGCUAGCUUAAAGAACAACAAUUUACACACUAAAAGGUAUGUUACUACAACAAAAAGGAACUUUGAUUUAUACCACAAAUAGUGACCAAUUAACUCCUUGAAAGGUAGGUAGUAAGAGCUACUGAACCUUGAGGGAACUAGGGAAUGAAUAUAGGAGCCUUAGGCAUAUAAUUAGGCAACUCUCUUAAGGAAGAAAAGAAGGAAAAUAUAACAAGUAAUACUGACCUUUGAUAUUUGUCCAAAUACUAUACUGUUAUCUGGUUCACUUCAUUCGCUCGCAGUAUCACUUGCUUCUUCCCUUUUUCCAUAUCGAAAAUUUAAUUUGAACUAAAGAAAUGGACAAAAAAUAUCUAAAGGUGAAUUGCUGAUUUUUUGCAUUAUAAACUUACAGAUGUAAUGCUUCUACUUAUAAUGUUUCUACUUACUUUGAAUAAGAUGAGGUUUAUACGGUCACAUCCUUCAAUGGAUUCGACUUCUUCCUUAAUUCUCACAGUUGAAGCCUCCAAAGAUUCAUGGCAAUCAAUCAACUUAAUCUGUUUCAGUGUCUGAAUAUCUGCAAAGCUAAGAGGGAUCUCCUCUAGGUCGUCACAAUCUUUUAUAACAAGUGUUUCAAGCAUAGGAAAAGAUUCCUCUGAGACAUCCCACCUUGAGAUAUUUAAGCCGUCCAGUUUCAAGAACUUAAGUUUGUGGAAUGUGAUGUCUCUGAGGCACCACUCUUCCGACUCAUAAACCAAAUCCUCUAAUUUAAGACUCAGACACUCCAGACUUGGUAGUCCUGCAAUGACAGAAAUCAUGCUUUCCGAAAUGACAGAUUCACUUCCACAACUACCAAUCCCUCUUGUAUACCUGCUUAGUACCAACUUCCGUAAAUUUGAAGGCAAGUGUAACUUGGAUACAACUAUGGAUGACUCAAUGGAAAGGCGAAGUACUUGAAGUUGGGUAAGACGCUCCAAUGUGGGAAAUAUCUCUGCAGAAUCAGCUUUCACACUAUCAGCAUGGAUGUCAAGUUCUCGAAGAUUAGGACACAUCCAUAAUAACAUAUCCACACUAUCAGCAUCACCAAUUUUGAUUACAACUCGCCUUAAUAUCCUCAAAUUUUCCAAUUUGGAGGAUUCUUCAAAGAUCUGCUGCAAAUUGUUCUCCAAAUCAAAUUCAGCUUUACGAAUCUCAACAUGCCUUAAUUUUUCCAUUUUCCAGAAACUCGCAGGUAACACUGAACAAUCAAUACCCUUCACAAUUAAAGUUUCAAGAUGGGACAAAUGUAAUUCUGGGUGAAAGACAAAUUGAUAAACAGAAACAGCGAGGUACUUCAGGUGAAUUAGUGGUUUCAAUGUAGCUGACCUCAAAACACCGUCACCAUGAGAACUCAAAUCCAAGACCUUAAGAAGUCGAAAUUCACUGAUCUGAUCGAAGAGAUCAAAACAAAUUUCGAAUGACUGAUUGGUCGUUAUCAGUGACCUCACAUGUUGGUGGGAAGGUGUUCGUAUUUUGGAUCCCUGAGAUGUAAAAUUGGAAUGCUCUGUACUGAAACUGAAUCUCACUCUAUUUUCUUUGCAUCCAGAAGGUUGAAGCUGGCUACGAUGCCCCUUCACUGCCAGCAUAAACUUUUCUUCUCUACUCCUCUCCAUGCAAAAGUGAAGCACUACAUCAUGAACAUGGCAGUAUUUGACCUUACCAUUAUAUUCUCUCUUUGAAACCAUUACUACGUUACUACUGAUGAGAUCCAUCAAGUAACCUUCAGCUGCCUCUUCCAUUAAUCUCCCGGAUUCAACGUUCUGCAUGAACCCUUCCGCGAUCCAUAGACUUAUCAAUUUAGACACUGGAAUUCUUGCAUCCUCUGGAAACAUUCCUAUAUAAAGAAGGCACGGUCUUAAAUGAUCAGGUAAGUUAUCAUAACUUAACUGCAUAGUUGAAAGACUAUAUUCUUCAGACUCGCCAAGAUAUGAAAAUAAAGCAUUUUUAACCUCAUGCCACCAAGAUUCUUCCAUUGGCCUUUUUUUGAUUAUUCCAGCUAUCAAGACAACCACUAGAGGCAAUCCUCUGCAUCUUUUUGCAACUGCUAGACUCACAUCUUGUAGUUCAAGAGGGAAAUCUUCCUCUUGAAACACCUUUUUCUGCAACAAUUUACAACUCUCAUCUGGUGUGAGGAAUGGAAGGA